This 253-nucleotide ribosomal RNA is filed under the name uncultured bacterium. RNAcentral's name for it is "partial 16S ribosomal RNA". It matches the Rfam family "Bacterial small subunit ribosomal RNA", at positions 524 to 776 of the family's 1533-position model. The record is from RNAcentral.
UACGGAGGGUGCGAGCGUUGUCCGGAAUCACUGGGCGUAAAGGGUGCGUAGGCGGUUCCGCAAGUCCUGUGUGAAAUCUUCGGGCUCAACUCGAAGUCUGCACGGGAAACUGCGGGGCUUGAGUGUGGGAGAGGUGAGUGGAAUUCCCGGUGUAGCGGUGAAAUGCGUAGAUAUCGGAAGGAACACCUGUGGCGAAAGCGGCUCACUGGACCACAACUGACGCUGAUGCACGAAAGCGUGGGGAGCAAACAGG